RNAcentral lists this ribosomal RNA (253 nucleotides) under uncultured bacterium. Its description in RNAcentral is "partial 16S ribosomal RNA". It matches the Rfam family "Bacterial small subunit ribosomal RNA", at positions 524 to 776 of the family's 1533-position model. The record is from RNAcentral.
UACAGAGGUCCCAAGCGUUGUUCGGAUUUACUGGGCGUAAAGGGCGCGUAGGCGGUCACGCACGUCCGUUGUGAAAUCGCUCGGCUCAACUGGGCGGGGUCAGCGGAUACGGUGUGGCUGGAGCAAGCUAGGGGGCAAUGGAAUUCCCGGUGUAGUGGUGGAAUGCGUAGAUAUCGGGAGGAACACCAGUGGCGAAGGCGGUUGCCUGGAGCUUUGCUGACGCUGAUGCGCGAAAGCGUGGGGAGCGAUCCGG